This 400-nucleotide ribosomal RNA is filed under the name phytoplankton environmental sample. Its description in RNAcentral is "partial small subunit ribosomal RNA". It matches the Rfam family "Eukaryotic small subunit ribosomal RNA", at positions 587 to 973 of the family's 1831-position model. The record is from RNAcentral.
AGCUCCAAUAGCGUAUAUUAAAGUUGUUGCAGUUAAAAAGCUCGUAGUUGGAUUUCUGUCAUGUCUUUCUUCCCUCCUUGCUAGCCAAGUGUUAGUGUUGGGUUUGAUUGGAUGACAUCUUCGCCCACCAAUUUGCUAGCUGAUGCAUUGAUUUGCAUUGUUAGUAAAUGGGCGUCAUUUACUGUGAAAAAAUUAGAGUGUUCAAAGCAAGUAUUAAUUUCUUGAAUACAUUAGCAUGGAAUAAUAAGAUAGGACUUUGGUAAUAUUUUGUUGGUUUGCAUAUCAAAGUAAUGAUUAAUAGGAACAUAUUGGGGAUAUCCGUAUUUUUUAGUCAGAGGUGAAAUUCUUGGAUUUAAGAAAGACGAACUACAGCGAAAGCAUUUAUCAAGGAUGUUUUCAU